RNAcentral lists this small RNA (550 nucleotides) under uncultured Patulibacter sp. RNAcentral describes it as "bacterial LSU rRNA". The stretch from base 1 to 185 matches the Rfam family "Bacterial small subunit ribosomal RNA", at positions 1348 to 1533 of the family's 1533-position model. The record is from RNAcentral. Lineage: Bacteria; Bacillati; Actinomycetota; Thermoleophilia; Solirubrobacterales; Patulibacteraceae.
UCCAGCAGCCGCGGUAAUACGUUCCCGGGCCUUGUACACACCGCCCGUCACACCACGGGAGUGAGCAACACCCGAAGCCGGUGGCCUAACCCUUUGGGAGGGAGCCGUCGAAGGUGGGGCUCGUGACUGGGGUGAAGUCGUAACAAGGUAGCCGUACCGGAAGGUGCGGCUGGAUCACCUCCUUUCUAGGGAGCUCCAAUUCUGGAGCCGGCAUGGCCUCGGGCCAUGUCGCUAGGAAUAUCGACCGAGCCUGGCCGUGCGAGCACCUGCAUACCGCAGGGCUUUAGCGCGGUUGCAUGCUGUUGAGUUUUGAGAGACCGCGUGGUGAGUCCCACCCGCAUUUCUCGGCGGUCCUUGAAAACUGCACAGUAGCCACAUCACCAUCGCCGAUCGAUAAGCCGGCGAUGGUUCCUUGCGUUCACGCUCUCCAACGCGUGGACGCGAGUUGGGUAUCACCGGACCGAAGCCCUCAUGCAAUGGGGCCCGGUCCAGAUCACCGUCAAGAUAGGAAGGGCACACGGUGGAUACCUAGGCACACAGAGAAUAAAAG